RNAcentral lists this transfer RNA (72 nucleotides) under Marmota marmota marmota (Alpine marmot). It matches the Rfam family "tRNA". From Rfam's summary of the family: Transfer RNA (tRNA) molecules are approximately 80 nucleotides in length. Their secondary structure includes four short double-helical elements and three loops (D, anti-codon, and T loops). Lineage: Eukaryota; Metazoa; Chordata; Mammalia; Rodentia; Sciuridae. The record is from Rfam by way of RNAcentral. RNAcentral also lists the same sequence under 3 other names.
UGUGGUGUAGCUCAGUAAUGCAGCACAUGCCUAGCAUGCCUGAGGCCUUGGGUUCAACCCCCAGAAUCACAG